Molecule: transfer RNA, 73 nt
Filed under: Fasciola gigantica
Lineage: Eukaryota; Metazoa; Platyhelminthes; Trematoda; Plagiorchiida; Fasciolidae
Rfam family: tRNA
About the family: Transfer RNA (tRNA) molecules are approximately 80 nucleotides in length.
Source: Rfam by way of RNAcentral
ACCGCGACAGCUCAGCUGGUAGAGCAUCUGCCCGGUAUGCAGAAGGUCGCCGGUUUGACUCCGGCUCGCGGCG